Molecule: ribosomal RNA, 503 nt
Filed under: uncultured bacterium
Lineage: Bacteria
Description: bacterial SSU rRNA
Rfam family: Bacterial small subunit ribosomal RNA
Source: RNAcentral
UGAACGCUGGCGGCGUGCCUAACACAUGCAAGUCGAACGGUAACAGGCGGUAACUUCGGUUACUGUGCUGACGAGUGGCAAACGGGUGAGUAACGCGUGGGCAACCUACCUUCGAGCGGGGGACAACAUCGCGAAAGCGGUGCUAAUACCGCAUAAUAUAUGGACACUGAUGGUGACCAUAUCAAAGUUGGGGAUUUUCGAACCUGACACUUGAAGAGGGGCUCGCGUUGGAUUAGCUGGUUGGUGGGGUAACGGCCUACCAAGGCGACAAUCUAUAGCCGGCCUGAGAGGGUGAUCGGCCACACUGGAACUGAGACACGGUCCAGACUCCUACGGGAGGCAGCAGUGGGGAAUUUUGCGCAAUGGGGGAAACCCUGACGCAGCAACGCCGCGUGGGUGAAGAAGCAUCUUGGUGUGUAAAGCCCUGUCGAAGGGGACUAAGGUCUAUUGAUUAAGAGUUGAUAGAUUUGAAUGUACCCUUAGAGGAAGCCCCGGCUAACUCC